Schistocerca americana (American grasshopper) is the source of this 326-nucleotide long non-coding RNA. RefSeq lists it as uncharacterized. Lineage: Eukaryota; Metazoa; Arthropoda; Insecta; Orthoptera; Acrididae. The transcript has 4 exons. The record is from RefSeq and is a predicted model, not a curated record.
CCCAGACAAAAGCAGGAUUUUGGAAAACUUUUCGGGAUAUGGAGUUAUUUCUGUAAAGGAAGAACUAUUUCCAGAUUUAUCCACCAUGAAUGCACAGCUCCUAUAGAUACCUGGCCAGCAUCUACAAUGACAGCUAGUGGUGCUGAAGACAGAGGAUGAGCAAGGAUAACUACAUCUCGCAAGGAGGAUUUCAUUUUCUGGAAAGCAGACAAUAUUUCAGUUAUAGAUGUCACUAAAGGUGGUGGUGGUGGUGAUGAGGAUGAUAAUGACAAUGAUGAUGAUCAAAUGGGUAUAACAUCACCAUCACUGGAAGAAGCCAACAUCUC